Molecule: ribosomal RNA, 240 nt
Filed under: Ophiostoma rachisporum
Lineage: Eukaryota; Fungi; Ascomycota; Sordariomycetes; Ophiostomatales; Ophiostomataceae
Description: partial 28S ribosomal RNA
Rfam family: Eukaryotic large subunit ribosomal RNA
Source: RNAcentral
UUGACCUCGGAUCAGGUAGGAUUACCCGCUGAACUUAAGCAUAUCAAUAAGCGGAGGAAAAGAAACCAACAGGGAUUGCCCCAGUAACGGCGAGUGAAGCGGCAACAGCUCAAAUUUGAAAUCUGGCCCUCGGGUCCGAGUUGUAAUUUGGAGAGGAUGCUUUUGGCGCGGCGCCGUCCGAGUUCCUUGGAACAGGACGCCAUAGAGGGUGAGAGCCCCGUACGGGCGGCCGCCUAGCCU